This 492-nucleotide long non-coding RNA is filed under the name Rattus norvegicus (Norway rat). RNAcentral describes it as "long non-coding RNA NONRATT015595". The record is from RNAcentral. Lineage: Eukaryota; Metazoa; Chordata; Mammalia; Rodentia; Muridae.
GAGACAGAAUUCUCUUUCUUAGUCUCUUGUCCAGAUACUUUUAAAAGAAGUGGGGAUUGCUCUUUGAUGGGGGAGCAUAAGUUAUGGAUGAUAAAGUGCUAAUUGUAUUCUUUUCUCUGAAACAGCAGGUAGCAUAUUUUUUCUCUUCCAUACUGCAUACUUUUCAAGGCUUUAUUUCAUGCCCAGCACACCCUUCCCCACACCUCUGCAGGCUACUUGAGGCUUCUUCCUUGGGUCUGCCGCAGCAGACUGUCUUCUGAUUCAGACAGACGCUCCUCUGGUCUUCCACACUUUUCAGUUUCUGCGUUUACUUUGAUAUUAGAGUUUCCUUCCCCACGUGGUUCUUGCCCUUUCUUUAACUAUCCACACGGAUGCUGUGUCUGGCCUCUUCCUGUAAAUACUGUACAAUGAUUCUGUGUAAAUAACUGGUCCUUGCCCACAGAGCAAGCGAGCCUUCCAGGCCAACAAAUUAAAGAUCGGUUUGCUCACUGA